RNAcentral lists this ribosomal RNA (18 nucleotides) under Amentotaxus argotaenia. RNAcentral's name for it is "partial 18S ribosomal RNA". RNAcentral also lists the same sequence under 3 other names. Lineage: Eukaryota; Viridiplantae; Streptophyta; Pinopsida; Cupressales; Taxaceae. The record is from RNAcentral.
ACCUGCGGUAGGAUCAUU